UCCAAGGUCAUCAGUUCAAAUCCCUACACCCCCAUUUAUUUUGGCGAUUUUGUUCCCUUUUUUNUUUUAAUAAUAAACGUUUUUUGGAUUUUCUUUCUUGUUUUGUUUCCUUUUUUUAACGUUUUUUUUUAUUUCAUUUCUUGUUUUGUUUCCUUUUUCAACGUUUUUUUUCCCUUUUCAUUUUUCUUUACUUUUUGCAUUUUUUAUAUAUUUUUUUUUUUUUCUUUUCAGUAUUUUCUGUUUUUUUCUUUUUAUUGUUUUUAUUUAGCUUAUUUUUAAAAAAAAAUUAUGAUAAUUGUUACUUUUAUUUAUUAGAACCUGUACUUUUAAUUAUUUGGUUAAGUAAUUAUUAUAGUAAGAAAAAAAAUUGAUUGUUAUAAAGAAAAAUAACUAUUAUUAUGAAGAAAUGUAAUGUUUUUGAAUUAUUAC
RNAcentral lists this long non-coding RNA (429 nucleotides) under Salvia miltiorrhiza (redroot sage). Its description in RNAcentral is "long non-coding RNA (SMIL_LNC013624)". Lineage: Eukaryota; Viridiplantae; Streptophyta; Magnoliopsida; Lamiales; Lamiaceae. The record is from RNAcentral.